ACCCACAACUGCCGUCUUUCGAUAACCCCUCACCUGUGCCUCCUCUCUUCCUCUCUCUCCCCCCCCCACCCAUAGCUGCCGUACAUCUUCCGGUAACCCCCCCAUCCACACCUCUUCUCUUCUUCUCUCUCCCACAGUCACCAUGUCAUUUCCUUCCAAGCCGAGUUUUCUACCCCACGACUGCCAUCUCCUCUCCUCCCAAACCCUCCACCAGCAAUUAAUGAAUAUUUUGUAUGAAUUACAUUUAAAAAUUUAUAUUCUCAUUGUUUCUCACUAUUGUUUCUCAUUAUUUAUGUUUAUACUGACAGGAUAAACACAAACUGCAAAUAAUCCUGAUUAGGAUAAAUACAACCGUGGAUAGGA
Molecule: long non-coding RNA, 363 nt
Filed under: Elaeis guineensis (African oil palm)
Lineage: Eukaryota; Viridiplantae; Streptophyta; Magnoliopsida; Arecales; Arecaceae
Description: long non-coding RNA (EGUI_LNC055542)
Source: RNAcentral